ACUUGGAAACAGGUGCUAAUACCGGAUAACAACAAUAGCUGCAUGGCUAUUGCUUAAAAGGCGGCGAAAGCUGUCGCUAAAGGAUGGACCCGCGGUGCAUUAGCUAGUUGGUAAGGUAAUGGCUUACCAAGGCGACGAUGCAUAGCCGAGUUGAGAGACUGAUCGGCCACAUUGGGACUGAGACACGGCCCAAACUCCUACGGGAGGCAGCAGUAGGGAAUCUUCCACAAUGGGCGAAAGCCUGAUGGAGCAACGCCGCGUGAGUGAAGAAGGUUUUCGGAUCGUAAAGCUCUGUUGUUGGUGAAGAAGGAUAGAGGUAGUAACUGGCCCCUAUUUGACGGUAAUCAACCAGAAAGUCACGGCUAACUACGUGCCAGCAGCCGCGGUAAUACGUAGGUGGCAAGCGUUGUCCGGAUUUAUUGGGCGUAAAGCGAGCGCAGGCGGAAAGAUAAGUCUGAUGUGAAAGCCCCCGGCUUAACCGAGGAAUUGCAUCGGAAACUGUGUUUCUUGAGUGCAGAAGAGGAGAGUGGAACUC
RNAcentral lists this ribosomal RNA (535 nucleotides) under uncultured bacterium. Its description in RNAcentral is "bacterial SSU rRNA". It matches the Rfam family "Bacterial small subunit ribosomal RNA", at positions 148 to 669 of the family's 1533-position model. The record is from RNAcentral.